MicroRNA precursor from Astatotilapia calliptera (eastern happy), 61 nucleotides. Lineage: Eukaryota; Metazoa; Chordata; Actinopteri; Cichliformes; Cichlidae. The record is from Ensembl.
GGCUUGUUUUAAGUUGCCUGUGAAUUUUAUCUGUUACACAGGCAGCUAAAGCAAGCCUUGA